RNAcentral lists this ribosomal RNA (253 nucleotides) under uncultured bacterium. RNAcentral describes it as "partial 16S ribosomal RNA". It matches the Rfam family "Bacterial small subunit ribosomal RNA", at positions 524 to 776 of the family's 1533-position model. The record is from RNAcentral.
UACGUAGGUGGCAAGCGUUGUCCGGAUUUACUGGGCGUAAAGGGAGCGUAGGCGGACUUUUAAGUGAGAUGUGAAAUACCCGAGCUCAACUUGGGUGCUGCAUUUCAAACUGGAAGUCUAGAGUGCAGGAGGGGAGAAUGGAAUUCCUAGUGUAGCGGUGAAAUGCGUAGAGAUUAGGAAGAACACCAGUGGCGAAGGCGAUUCUCGGGACUGUAACUGACGCUGAGGCUCGAAAGCGUGGGGAGCAAACAGG